RNAcentral lists this ribosomal RNA (142 nucleotides) under uncultured eukaryote. Its description in RNAcentral is "partial 18S ribosomal RNA". It matches the Rfam family "Eukaryotic small subunit ribosomal RNA", at positions 1299 to 1458 of the family's 1831-position model. The record is from RNAcentral.
UGGUGGAGUGAUUUGUCUGGUUAAUUCCGUUAACGAACGAGACCUCGACCUGCUAAAUAGUAUGGCGAACUCUCCGGGGUUCGUACCAAACUUCUUAGAGGGACUAUCGGUUUGUAGCCGAUGGAAGUUCGAGGCAAUAACA